ACUUUGAAAGAGCAGGAGAUAAUUGCCCAUCUCCUCACAGGAUUGGGGUCGGAUUAUGAUGCCCUCGUCACAUCUAUCACGAUGCGCACUGAGCCAAUGUCUCUCAGCGAGCUCUAUGCUCAUCUUCUCAGCUAUGAAC
Molecule: small nucleolar RNA, 139 nt
Organism: Phragmites australis (common reed)
Lineage: Eukaryota; Viridiplantae; Streptophyta; Magnoliopsida; Poales; Poaceae
Product: small nucleolar RNA Z247
Exons: 1
Source: RefSeq, a predicted model, not a curated record